CUGCGAGCUGGGUUGUGUAAAGGCUGGUCAUUUUGGGGCGCUUAGGGGUGGGUGCCGGGGGGCGCGCUUUCCCUCGUGAAGGUCGCUCCAGGAGUCAUGCGUACAUUCGUUCAUUUUGCUCUGGACGCACUGAUGUUCCCGGCUCGCCGCCGUGCCGCAGUCACGAGGCUCUCCGAACGCCUUUCACUGUGUUUCUGUUUACAUUCGCGUCUGCAAGACCCGGCGGCGCGACCGAGGCCCGAACAGCAUUAUUCACAAGAGCCAAAAAGUGGAAACAACCCAAAUACCCAUCAACUGAUGAAUGGAUGGAGAUGGGCUGCCAUGUUGUGAGCUGCCCCAUGGGGAAGAGGCUCACAUGUGAGGAACUGAGGGAGGCCUCCAGAAAACAGCCAGUGAAGAACUGAGACCCUCAGUCCAAUAGCCUAUGAGGAACUGAAUCCUGCUGACAACCAUAUGAAUGAGCUUGGAAGCAGAUCCUUCCCCAGUGAAGCCUUCAUGUGAGACUGCAGCCCACUUGACACUUUGAUUUGUAGCUUGUGACAGACCCCAAGCCAGAAGAGUCAGGCCGUAUGCAGUGGCUCAACGCCUGCAAUCCCAGAACUUUGGGAGGCCGAGGCAGGUGGAUCACUUGAGGAAAUCCAAGCUAAUUCCUGUGCCAAAGGCUGGCUUAAGAGAGGGCCCACAAUGCAAUUCUGGCCUGUCUUCCUCUGCUGGAUGUCACCUUAUUUGAACUGGACACUUAGAACCAUGACAGCCAUCUGUGUCUAUGAGGGAGUGAGCCAGAGAACCAAGCUGACAUGUUGAAUAUGGACUUCUUUAAGGGCAUGAUGGCAAACAUCCUCAUUGUGUAAGUCGAAUAAGCCAG
Molecule: long non-coding RNA, 865 nt
Filed under: Homo sapiens (human)
Lineage: Eukaryota; Metazoa; Chordata; Mammalia; Primates; Hominidae
Description: PREDICTED lncRNA (TCONS_00158697)
Source: RNAcentral